RNAcentral lists this ribosomal RNA (484 nucleotides) under uncultured bacterium. RNAcentral describes it as "bacterial SSU rRNA". It matches the Rfam family "Bacterial small subunit ribosomal RNA", at positions 501 to 985 of the family's 1533-position model. The record is from RNAcentral.
CUACGUGCCAGCAGCCGCGGUAAUACGUAGGUCCCGAGCGUUGUCCGGAUUUAUUGGGCGUAAAGCGAGCGCAGGCGGUUAGAUAAGUCUGAAGUUAAAGGCUGUGGCUUAACCAUAGUACGCUUUGGAAACUGUUUAACUUGAGUGCAAGAGGGGAGAGUGGAAUUCCAUGUGUAGCGGUGAAAUGCGUAGAGAUCUGGAGGAAUACCGGUGGCGAAGGCGGCCCCCUGGACAAAGACUGACGCUCAGGUGCGAAAGCGUGGGGAGCGAACAGGAUUAGAUACCCUGGUAGUCCACGCCGUAAACGAUGUCGACUUGGAGGUUGUGCCCUUGAGGCGUGGCUUCCGGAGCUAACGCGUUAAGUCGACCGCCUGGGGAGUACGGCCGCAAGGUUAAAACUCAAAUGAAUUGACGGGGGCCCGCACAAGCGGUGGAGCAUGUGGUUUAAUUCGAUGCAACGCGAAGAACCUUACCUACUCUUGAC